This is a non-coding RNA of Podarcis lilfordi (Lilford's wall lizard), 85 nucleotides long. The record is from the annotation of a GenBank genome assembly. NCBI's taxonomy places the organism in Eukaryota, Metazoa, Chordata, Lepidosauria, Squamata, Lacertidae.
UCUUUCACCCUAAGGGAUAGCUUAGUCAGUAGAGCAUGAGACUCUUGAUCUCAGGGUCGUGGGUUUGAGCCCCACAUUGGGAGAA